RNAcentral lists this small RNA (809 nucleotides) under Pongo abelii (Sumatran orangutan). Its description in RNAcentral is "processed transcript". The record is from RNAcentral. Lineage: Eukaryota; Metazoa; Chordata; Mammalia; Primates; Hominidae.
CUCCACGGCCGCCGCAGGGACCCGCCCACCAGACCCUGCGCUGGGUAGCCGGUGUGUUUGAGUGGAACGUGCCGCUGAUGACACCUGGCAGAAGGCAGCCAUGGAGGGCGAUGGCUCAGACUCGCCGGUGUCGAAUGUGCAAUUCUUCCGAAGUUUCCCGAGGAACUGCUUAAUUGAGGGAGCCGCCACAUCACACUUAAUCAGUUUGUUUCUCCCUCAAUGACAGAUGAACUAAAUUUUCUCUUGGGUUACCAUUAAGAAUAUCGAAAGGGAGCUCAUUUGCCCAGCAUGCAAGGAGCUGUUUACCCACCCAUUGAUUCUCCCUUGCCAACAUAGUAUCUGUCAUAAAUGCGUAAAAGAACUCCUGCUGACUCUUGAUGAUUCAUUCAACGAUGUGGGAUCAGACAACUCCAAUCAAAGCAGUCCUCGACUUCGGCUCCCCUCCCCUAGUAUGGAUAAAAUUGAUCGAAUUAACAGACCAGGCUGGAAGCGCAAUUCAUUGACCCCGAGGACAACUAUUUUCCCUUGCCCUGGCUGCGAGCAUGAUGUGGAUCUUGGAGAACGAGGAAUCAAUGGUCUGUUUCGAAACUUCACUUUGGAAACUAUUGUGGAAAGAUAUCGUCAGGCAGCUAGGGCAGCCACAGCCAUUAUGUGUGACCUUUGUAAACCACCACCUCAAGAAUCCACAAAAAGCUGCAUGGACUGUAGUGCAAGUUACUGCAAUGAAUGCUUCAAAAUUCAUCAUCCUUGGGGUACUAUAAAAGCUCAACAUGAGUAUGUUGGUCCAACUACUAACUUUAGACCCAAGG